Mycena belliarum is the source of this 86-nucleotide non-coding RNA. Lineage: Eukaryota; Fungi; Basidiomycota; Agaricomycetes; Agaricales; Mycenaceae. The record is from the annotation of a GenBank genome assembly.
GGCCUGAUGGUCUAGUAGUAUGAUUCCUUGUUAGGGAGUUUCGACUCGUCUCGAGGAGGUCCCGGGUUCAAUUCCCGGUUAGGCCC